Molecule: long non-coding RNA, 1421 nt
Organism: Xenopus tropicalis (tropical clawed frog)
Lineage: Eukaryota; Metazoa; Chordata; Amphibia; Anura; Pipidae
Exons: 4
Source: RefSeq, a predicted model, not a curated record
GUGUUUGUAAGUAUGUGUGGUGUUUGAUUUGGUAAUGGUUUGUAAAGGGUUUUUUUCCAAGAUGCGGGUGGAGGUAGGUUUGUUGUAUAAGCAGCCUGAUACUGCACUGUAGCUGCCAUCUCUGCUUUUUGUUUUCGUUAGAUCGUAGUCUUUUUAGAGUUAGGGGGUUAAACUUGUCGGCCAUCUUAGGUUUAGUGAAACACGUGGUAGACGAAUGGAUGGUUAAGGGAGCCCUUCAGUCUCUGUAGUGAGCAGGGCUGGUGGGAUAUUCAAUAGUGCCUAGUGCUUUUAGUAAAUGGAGGAUGUUUCUCUUUAUGGCGCUAACCUGCAGGUCUUCUAAUGCACCGUGCCUUUGUCUGGAAGCUGGUACAUUUGUAUGUUCCAGUAGUCAGUAUAUUGGCCUAUAUCCUAGGAAUGGCAUUGCUCUAUUAAUGCGUAUGCGUUAGUAUCAGUUCUAUCGUGCCUACAUACCAUGAUUGCCAUAGUAAUUGGGGUGUAGGGUGACUUCCCGCCAUUGUCUUCCAGCUUUAAGGUAAUUCCAAAAUUUUAGAAUAUAGCUGUCUACAACCUGUGUAUUAAAAGGUUAUUUAAUAUAUUCAUUCAUACAUGUGAGUUUUAACUGCUUUGUCUUUACUUUGCAGCUAUCUGCCUGUACAGGAAGCCACAUUUAAAGAUGCCUCAGAACUAUGCUUACAUCCUGAGCUGGCUCUCUAUGCCUGAGGGGUGACUAACCAGACUAAGGUAUCUGAAUUAGACGUAGCAGGAAGUGAAGUGGGUGCUGCUUCACCAGCUUAAUGAUGCAUAGCACAAGAAUAUUAUCUUGGUGUUAAACAUUGUCAUUCUGUAGUACUGAAGAGUUCAUCCAUCAAGACAUUGUAGUACCGUGAAUAGGUAUUCCAUUUUGAGCCCACAUGCAUAUAAUGGGUAACUUGCCUUGCCAUCACAUGGCAACUGUGAAGGCAUUAGUCUGGACAAUAGUCUUCCUGAGCACUACACAACAAAGCUUGCAGCUAAAGUACUGUUACAUCAGAGAUGUAAGGGACUGGACACUGGUGCAGGGAUAGUUGAACUUCCAAAGGCAGAGACCCAGCUGGAUCAAAAAAGGAAUACCAGGAGUAGCAUUUGACUCUUAUUUGAUCUACAGUCCAAUCCAACAUAUUUUGAUUUAACAUCCUUGUCUGGCUGUGUAGGGAAAACUGCUAACUUCUAUAGCAUUCUGCCCUAGUAGGCAGGCACGCGUAAAUAGAGAAGAUGCUUUAUAAAUCUGUAUGGUGGAUAAACUCUCUACCUUCACCUGGAUUAAAUAUUUUGUGAACAGUUUGACUUUGUCUGUAUGGCCCAGUUCUGCCUUCUGGAACAUGCUGCACUUGUCACUAAGUGUCACUAAAUUGUAAUGUUUCUAAUAAAACUCAUUUACACAA